Molecule: unclassified non-coding RNA, 327 nt
Filed under: soil metagenome
Description: partial contains 5.8S ribosomal RNA, internal transcribed spacer 2, and large subunit ribosomal RNA
Rfam family: 5.8S ribosomal RNA (bases 1-120)
Source: RNAcentral
GAUGAAGAACGUAGCGAAAUGCGAUAAGUAGUGUGAAUUGCAGACUUUAGUGAAUCAUCGAAUCUUUGAACGCACAUUGCGCCCCUUGGUAUUCCAUUGGGCAUGCCUGUUCGAGCGUCAUUUACACCCUCAAGCCUAGCUUGGUGUUGGGCGUUGUCCGCAAGGACUCGCCUCAAAUUCAUUGGCAGCGGCAUCGUCAGCUUCUCGCGCAGCACAUUGCGCUUCAGAAGGCUUCUGGCGGGCUCGCGUCCACUAAGAUACCACCCAGUUUGACCUCGAAUCAGGCAGGGAUACCCGCUGAACUUAAGCAUAUCAAUAAGCGGAGGA